Dipodomys ordii (Ord's kangaroo rat) is the source of this 65-nucleotide non-coding RNA. The record is from Rfam. NCBI's taxonomy places the organism in Eukaryota, Metazoa, Chordata, Mammalia, Rodentia, Heteromyidae.
GGUGGCUUAAUGGUAAAAGUGCUUGCCUUGCAUGCAUGAGGCCCUGGGUUCGAUCCCCAGCACCA